GGGAAUAUAGCUCAGUUGGUAGAGUGCUUGCCUUGCAUGCACAAGGCCCUGGGUUCAAUCCCCAGUACCUCCG
RNAcentral lists this transfer RNA (73 nucleotides) under Urocitellus parryii (Arctic ground squirrel). RNAcentral describes it as "Spermophilus parryii (Arctic ground squirrel) tRNA". It matches the Rfam family "tRNA". Rfam says of the family: Transfer RNA (tRNA) molecules are approximately 80 nucleotides in length. RNAcentral also lists the same sequence under 1 other name. Lineage: Eukaryota; Metazoa; Chordata; Mammalia; Rodentia; Sciuridae. The record is from Rfam by way of RNAcentral.